CCUGGCGGCAAUAGCGCGGUGGUCCCACCUGACCCCAUGCCGAACUCAGAAGUGAAACGCCGUAGCGCCGAUGGUAGUGUGGGGUCUCCCCAUGCGAGAGUAGGACACCGCCAGGC
RNAcentral lists this ribosomal RNA (116 nucleotides) under Serratia marcescens. RNAcentral also lists the same sequence under 1 other name. The record is from RNAcentral. Lineage: Bacteria; Pseudomonadati; Pseudomonadota; Gammaproteobacteria; Enterobacterales; Yersiniaceae.